Molecule: long non-coding RNA, 2538 nt
Filed under: Homo sapiens (human)
Lineage: Eukaryota; Metazoa; Chordata; Mammalia; Primates; Hominidae
Description: HSALNT0223565
Source: RNAcentral
GGAUCCACAGCAGGCUGCAUUAGGGGUUCCAGAUGCAGCCAAGGACGGAGAGCCUACUCAGGAGGAGGAAGGAGUGAGAAUAAAAGGACGUGGGUCUGAGGGGACCAGGGAAAAGACACAGAAGUCAAGAGAAGCGGUUCUUCUGAUCAACCCGCUGGAGGAGAAGGGAGAUGGUGCUGGUGGCCUUGAGAAUCAAGGGCUGAGAACCCAGGCUUGAUGCAGAGAGCUUGGUGAGGAGUCAGCAGCCAACUAAACUGGCUGCUUGAAUCCUACAGCUGGUGACAGUGGAACUGGAUAUGGUGUGCAUGUAUGUGAUUCUCAGAAACCAGCAAAGGAGACGGUGCAUUCCAGGGAGACGCUGAGGGUGUCACCCAAUAGGGAUCUACAGCUGUUGAUUUUCAGAUGUGCUCCACAGACCCCCUGGGGGUUCCAUGGACGCCACCAGGAGCAGUCGACUACUUUUGGGCCCAGGUUUGAGGGUCGUGAAACAGGGCAAUUCCACUUUGACAACUUUUACACUGGAACAUCCAUGUUAGGUUUCUUCUGGAGAAAGCACUUUGGCUAAAUCAGUCAGAAUGGCCCGGAACUAGGUAGCCUCCAUGUGUGCCUAUUUCAGGAAAGAGCAGACAUCACUCAGCUUUCCAUAUGGAAGGGGGUCGAGAUGGCUUAAGCUGACACAGGGAAACGAGGAGGACAGGAUCUUGUCUGUGCAGCCAGGCCUCCCGGGAACCUAGGGGAAGAAGAGUCACCAGGCGCCAGUGUUGGGAGUGCAGCAUGGCCAAGUUGCUGGGAGGCGAAAGUGAAACGUGUUUAGGGUUAAAGGAGGCCAGAGGACUCAGCAGCAGAAGCUGAGCACACGGCUUCAGUCUAGUGACUUCACAACUCUCUCCACCUCCGCCUCCCCCGGGGGUGCUUCUCUUUUCUCCCCCUUUCUCUCUUCCAACUGGCUAAUUAUCACUAGACUUCCCCAUUCAAAUUCCUGGGAAACAUGGCCAGGGCCUGUCAUCAGCUUUCCUUGGUCUUUUUACUUGUGGCACAAUCCUGUGGCUCAGAAUGCAACCAAUCCCGUGCCAGGAGAACCCUGGGGCUCCCAACCCCAGCAGAGGCUGUAGAGGUGCCACAGAUUCCCUUGGAAGGGCAGCAGGUGAUAUAAGCAACUGGGAUGUCCUGUCUGUGAGGCUUCCCAGGCAUCGUGACUGACCUGCCUGAAGGCCUGGCUGGCAUUGUGCUGGCCUACCUAGGACAUUCAACUGUUUGCUUGCCAGGCUCUCAAGGCCUUCUUCCUCUUGAUGCAGUUCCAACAAUGUCCCUACCUACCACAGCCUAUUUCACAUGCAGAUGCUGGUGCACACACCCCCUCAGCCGCUGGUUGGUAGGAUCCAUAAGUGAUGGUGCGGGACUACAUUAUUAUUUUAUCUUAUAUAAUCAUGCACCCCAUAAUGACAUUUUGGUCAACAAUGAAGUAUAUACACAAUGGUAGUCCCAUGAGAUCAUAAUGGAGCUAAAAAAUCCCUAUCAUCUAGUGAUGCCAUAGCCAUUAUAACAUCGCAGUCCAACACAUUACCUUGUCUAUGUUUGGAUUCACAAAUACUUGCCUUUGUGUUAUAAUUGCCUACAGUAUUCAGUACAGUAACAUGUUGUACAGGUUUGUGUCUAGGAGCAAUGGGCCUAUAUAGCAAUAGGACCAUAUAGCCUAGGGGUACAGCAGGCUAUACCAUCAAGGUUUGUCUAAGUACGUGCUAUGAUGUUUGUACAAUGAUGAAAUUGCCUAAGGACGCAUUUCUCGGAAUGUAUCCCCAUUAUUUAAUUUUAUUUAAUUUAAUUUAAUUUUAGAGAUGGAGUCUUGCUCUGUUGCCCAGGCUGGAGUGCAGUGGCGCGAUCUCAGCUCACUGCAAGCUCCGCCUCCCGGGUUCGAGCCAUUCUCCUGCCUCAGCCUCCUGAGUAGGUGGGACUACAGGUGCCCGCCACAAUGCCCGGCUAAUUUUUUGUAUUUUUAGUAGAGACGGGGUUUCACUGUAUUAGCCAGGAUGGUCUCGAUCUCCUGACCUCGUGAUCCACCCGCCUCAGCCUCCCAAAGUGCUGGGAUAACAGGUGUGAGCCACCGUGCCUGGCCGUAUCCCCAUUGUUAAGUGAUGCAUGACUAUAUGAUUCUGAUUACCAAAGUAAUAUAUGUUGGAUGUGCAAAAGUAAAACUGUAUAGAAAAAAAUUAUGUAGAAAGAAAAAGUGCUCCCUAAUUAAACCCAUAGUCGAUAAAUUCAACAGGUUUGUGAAUGUAUCUUCAGAGUUUUUCUAGACAUUUACUUACUUAUUAUUUUUCAGAGGUGGGGUCUCACUAUGUUGCCCAGGCUAGAGUGCUGUGGCUAUUCACAGGUGUGAUCAUAGGCACACAACCAGCCUCGAACUCCAGGCCUCAGGUGAUCCUCCUACCGCAGUCUCCUGAGUAGCUGGGACUGUAGGCAUGCACCACUGCACCCAGCUUCUAGGCAUUUAACAAUGUGUGCAUAUAUUAUAAAUACAUAAUAAAAAUGAAUUCAAAC